AUUGAACGCUGGCGGCAGGCCUAACACAUGCAAGUCGAACGAGUGGCGGACGGGUGAGUAAUGUCUGGGAAACUGCCCGAUGGAGGGGGAUAACUACUGGCAACGGUAGCUAAUACCGCAUACCAUCGGAUGUGCCCAGAUGGGAUUAGCUUGUAGGUGAGGUAACGGCUCACCUAGGCGACGAUCCCUAGCUGGUCUGAGAGGAUGACCAGCCACACUGGAACUGAGACACGGUCCAGACUCCUACGGGAGGCAGCAGUGGGGAAUAUUGCACAAUGGGCGCAAGCCUGAUGCAGCCAUGCCGCGUGUAUGAAGAAGGCCUUCGGGUUGUAAAGUACUUUCAGCGGGGAGGCGUUACCAACAGAAUAAGCACCGGCUAACUUCGUGCCAGCAGCCGCGGUAAUAC
This 406-nucleotide ribosomal RNA is filed under the name uncultured bacterium. Its description in RNAcentral is "partial 16S ribosomal RNA". It matches the Rfam family "Bacterial small subunit ribosomal RNA", at positions 30 to 526 of the family's 1533-position model. The record is from RNAcentral.